This 555-nucleotide unclassified non-coding RNA is filed under the name Hevea brasiliensis (rubber tree). Lineage: Eukaryota; Viridiplantae; Streptophyta; Magnoliopsida; Malpighiales; Euphorbiaceae. The record is from RNAcentral.
UACAACACUCACCAAGCCGAAACAACGCAUCGUAGUCUUCUCUGUACUGUUCUUGAUCUUGUUGGUGCUCUUACCAUUUCUUGCAAAGCAGCAAGAUUUGCAAAUUUAAAUAACAAAAAGCAGCCCAAGAAUACAAACUUUUCAAGAUAAUGAUUCGUUUCUUGGACUUUAGACGGUCAAGAAUCAAGAACCAAGAAACAAGAAAGAGAAAGCUAAUUCAAUGGAUUGGAAUGUUGAGAGUGAAGAAAAUCACAAAACACAAAUGCCCGUUCUGGGAAUGCAACGUGUAUAUAUAGAGGCAUAAAGGGUUGUCAAAAUAAGAGCCGUUGAUUAGCCAAAUGUGGGACCAGGUAGGGGGUUGAGAUAUUGUUUUCUGGGUGGAGAAAUCUGGUUUGGGGCAUUGGUCCAAAUCAGACAGAAUCAAAGCAGCAGAUCCCAAUAUAUAUUCAGCUGAUACGUCUAGGGAACUUGUAUAGAAUAGUUUAAGAUGAAAAUGUAGUUUAAGAAGAUAAUUAAAGAGCUAAUUAGGUUUUCAUUGUGUUUUGGGUUUUGUUG